GGUUUGGCUCGUUAGAAAGUGUGCGGUUCUUCGUGUUCCAAACACAAUUCUCUCUCUGUGGAACUGUAUUUUAAGACUGAUGCAAAUCCUUGGUGUCCCUUUUUAAUGUGAAUGAAAACAACUAGAAGAGGAAGUGUGGAGGCUUGGAAUCUCAGCUGAGGCCUCGGGGUCACUGGGGAGCAGUGAGGUCCUUCUCCACUGUUGGCGGCCGGAAGCAGAGAGAGGACAAAGCAUCAGCUGCCCGCUCCAAAUUUCUCCACUCCACUUAUUCCUUCCGCAAACUUUAUCAAGCGCCUUUGGGGUCCUGGGCACUGUGCUGGUGCAGAGAAUGCGAAGACAAUGGCUGUGAGGGGGGACCGAAAAGCAGAGGAACCUGAAAAUUCCAGUGUUGGGAAACACAUUGAAGAAUUUUUUAAGCCAGCAAGUCCUGUGGCCUGGCAGAGAUUAGUCUUCAUCCUGUGAUCCUGAGCUGGACCAGCACCACUCUUGGUUGUCCCUGUGCUUGUUUCUCAGUUCUUUAAAGUCUGGAUUUGUCACGAUAUCGCCCUGGCUUCAGUGGAGUCUGAAUUUGCC
This 573-nucleotide long non-coding RNA is filed under the name Fukomys damarensis (Damara mole-rat). RNAcentral describes it as "lncRNA (ENSFDAG00000032396.1)". Lineage: Eukaryota; Metazoa; Chordata; Mammalia; Rodentia; Bathyergidae. The record is from RNAcentral.